UAUAGUUACAUUCCACAGGCCAACGUGCAGGAAGUACAAUGCAUGCUUGACAACCACAUACAAUGGUAAUCUCAUGCAUGAGGUCCCAGAAUACAGACAGUUUAAGUGCUCGACCAUGAAGGAGAAUAUUUUUCAUGAUGAUUACACUAGACACCGACCCCGCGUCACCACCAAUUGGAGGUAGAGCUCUGAAUUGUGUGGACGUCUCAACCCGCGAUGACGCGGAAGGCAGGAGACAGCGGAUAACUCAUUUUUUUAGAAGAACAUCAUUUAUUUGACAGAGGACGACCGGCGCAUGAUGGUAUGUUAUGUUUUAAAUUUGUCAUAGGGUGAAUUCAGGUAGAGUGGGAUACCAGGUUGAGUGGGACGCUUAAGCAUGUGGGUAGGCUACUGUAAGGCAAGGCAAGGCAAGUUUAUUUGUAUAGCACAUUUUAACAACAAGAUAAUUCAAAGUGCUUUACAUAAAACAUAAAAGCAACAGGGAAAUUUAAAAAAGUUUAAAAGCAACAUAAA
Long non-coding RNA from Micropterus dolomieu (smallmouth bass), 513 nucleotides. RefSeq lists it as uncharacterized. NCBI's taxonomy places the organism in Eukaryota, Metazoa, Chordata, Actinopteri, Centrarchiformes, Centrarchidae. The transcript is spliced from 3 exons. The record is from RefSeq and is a predicted model, not a curated record.